GCGAACGUCUGGACUAGAAAUACUGCAGUAAAAUAAAUAAUUAAUUAAACAGAGGUGUUCGCAAGUAUACGGGUCAAAUUGUAGUAUAGAAGAAUGUUACAAUGAAACACUCUGGAAAGUGGCCCAUUAGGUCCCUAGGCCCAUAGUGGCCCAUUAGGUCAUAACAUAACUCAAAAUUGCGUAAAAACACUUAUUUUGCAUAAAUUAAAUACAAAGAAAUAAAAAAUAAAAAUGAAAUAAAUACACAUAAAACCGUUAUAAAACAAGCUUGUUAAGUGCCGAAAAGAAUUUAAUUUGCCAUAACAAAUUAUGGCAAACCAAACUCCCCAACACUUAAGUCAUUGUUUGUCCUCAAGCAACAAGAUAAAAAGAAACAAAAUAAAAC
Molecule: long non-coding RNA, 385 nt
Filed under: Gossypium raimondii (Peruvian cotton)
Lineage: Eukaryota; Viridiplantae; Streptophyta; Magnoliopsida; Malvales; Malvaceae
Description: long non-coding RNA (GRAI_LNC002009)
Source: RNAcentral